UUUUAACAAUGGAGAGAAGAUACACUGAGGUGUUGACACUUCUUACGAAUAACACAUACCCCAAAGACCUUAAUAAAACAGAAAGACAAAAUUUGAGGCGAUAUGCAGCAAAAUGUAGAGUAACAGAUGGCAUGCUGUAUUAUGGGAGAAGGAAGGCAGUAAGGACCAAGGAGGAAUGCAGGGCAUUGUUUGACGAGUUCCACAGCACCCCUAUUGGAGGCCACAGUGGGAUUUUUAAAACACGAAAUGCCCUGUGUGCCAGGUAUUACUGGCCAGGGAUGACCGUGGAUGUCGAACAAUGGUUAAGUGAAUGUGAUCAAUGCCAGAGGGUAGGAAAGCCUCUGAUGGUGGACAGCAAACUAGACAGCAUCAGUGU
This is a non-coding RNA of Paramisgurnus dabryanus, 376 nucleotides long. The record is from RefSeq and is a predicted model, not a curated record. NCBI's taxonomy places the organism in Eukaryota, Metazoa, Chordata, Actinopteri, Cypriniformes, Cobitidae.